UUAAGAGUAGGAAUUUUAUUUGGAAUUGAGAGUGAAGCCCAGGAUGGAAUUUUGAGGUUGAGAGUUGAGAGACAGGGCCGAAGCCUAUAAAACGCUGAUUCAGCCGAACAUGUUGAGCCUCUGUGCCGCAUCACUCCCUCCCUACCUGCUCCUUCUAUAAAUUCAGCAUCCGGCGGAGCUUCAUAACUGAUAACUCGCAAUCAUUCACCUCUCUCUCUCUCUCUCUCUCUCUACGCAUCCAUAUAUCGAUCGGCUUUUACUUGUUUAUCUCUCCUCUCUCUCUCUCUCUCUCUUUGGAUCUGAACAUGGUCGAAACCAGAAGAAGCUCCUCGUCUUCCAAGCGCCCUCACUCUUCCCCAUCCUCUCCUCUCCCUAAUGGCAAGCGCUCCAAGGUUUGCCCUCUCCAAUUCCCAUUUCAUCAUCAUCAUCAUCACAUCUCUUGAUACUACAUGUUAGCAUGUAGCUCCAUAGACGAAAAAUUAGUUUCUUUCUUUCUAUCUUUCUUGUGUUUAAUUUAUUUGAUCGGGUUUAUAGGCGGCAGAGGCGGAGGCGUUGUCAUCAACUAAUGAUACCCUAGCAAAGAAAACACAGGGUGCGGUGAAUGAAUCCGGACAAGAAUCUGCUGACCAAGAGGUUCGAUCCACUGAUCUGCCUGCUGCCACUCUUUUCAAGUCCUCUGAUGCUUCUGUCCCACUUAAAUCCACAGAUAAUCAAGUUCAAGGAUCACCCAUCACUUUAGGUCCCAUUUUAUCCUUGCAUGUCCUUUUACUUUAUCAAAAUUCUUUUGCUUAUUUUCUUUCCUUCAUCGGUGUUUUGAACUUUUUUGCGAUGACUUUUUAGGUCAUUCUGUGAUUGAUGUGGAGAAAACCAAGUUAAAUGGGUCGUCACUGAAUAAGGUGAAAAAGCGGCAGCUGAAAUCGAAUGUUGGGGCUGCAUGGGGAAAACUUAUUUCCCAGUGCUCUCAAGUAGGUUUUAUUUUUAUUCUUUCCAUGUUAAUUUUUUAGUCUUAUUCACUGGGAAUAAUGUGAAAAUGACUAAAAAUUUAGAAAAUAUUUAACCUUUAGUCAAAAUUUGAUACCAAAGUUUGAUACCAAAGUGAACUCUGCUUGCACUGCCACAUUCACUCGUAAAAUAAUUUAAAUAAUAUGUGCAUACGAUACUGACCAAGGAAUGCUUGCACUGCCACAAUCACUCGUAACUUGAAGCAUUUAAUUUUGCAUCCAUUCUUGCCUUGCACUUGUGAAUCUGGAUUUCUCUCAAUUAAAAUAUGUGAUGUUUAGUGUUUAAUAAUGGGGUAUGUUAUGUUUGUUUUUUUAAAAAGAGAACAUGGAAAAUGAUAUCCAACAUCGGUAAUGGGAAUGCAAUUACUCAGUAUGUUAUGUUUGUUUUCUUAAAAAGAGAACAUGAAAAAUGAUAUCCAACAUCGGUUGCAUGUUACUGUAAAUACCAACCAAACUGAAAAUUCUUGUUCGUUCACCUCAGUCUCUCAUAUGUUUAUCAUUUAUUUGCCAAAAUAUCUCCUUACCAAGUUUCACAACUCUUUGUUACCAUAAUUUUAGACCAGAAUAACCCCUCAAUCAUGAUCUGUAGUGAAAAUGUACAGUACCCGGGGAAUACGUUCAUAGAUGUUUUGUAAGAACCGUAGUCUCCAAUCAUCUUGAGCAUGUCGAAUAAUUUCAGGGGUACUUGUUACCUUCUACCAACAUAAGUGUUGGAUAGCUUUGUCCACCGAGGCCAGAGAGGAAGAACUCACCUAGACCUCAUGGUUCUCAUUUCAUUGACCACUAGGUCACACUGGCGGUGCGUUUAUAGACGUCAUUCGUUGCAUCUGGUGAUGAAAUCCCGAGAAUUAGUCAACUCAGCCUGAACGAUACAACAUAUGCUAUGCUUAAUAACUCCUCAAAAAAGAAUACUGGAAUAAAGUUUUUAUAUAUAUAUAUAUAUAUAUAAUUGUAAAAUAAAUUAGAAGACAAUUUUGAAUUGAACUUAGUUGAGGUAGGCUAGUAAUUCACGUAGUUAAAUGCACAUAAAUUGGAUUAGGAGGUGUUUAGGGAGGGACCAAAUUUAAGAGUAGGAAUUUUAUUUGGAAUUGAGAGUGAAGCCCAGGAUGGAAUUUUGAGGUUGAGAGUUGAGAGACAGGGCCGAAGCCUAUAAAACGCUGAUUCAGCCGAACAUGUUGAGCCUCUGUGCCGCAUCACUCCCUCCCUACCUGCUCCUUCUAUAAAUUCAGCAUCCGGCGGAGCUUCAUAACUGAUAACUCGCAAUCAUUCACCUCUCUCUCUCUCUCUCUCUCUCUACGCAUCCAUAUAUCGAUCGGCUUUUACUUGUUUAUCUCUCCUCUCUCUCUCUCUCUCUCUUUGGAUCUGAACAUGGUCGAAACCAGAAGAAGCUCCUCGUCUUCCAAGCGCCCUCACUCUUCCCCAUCCUCUCCUCUCCCUAAUGGCAAGCGCUCCAAGG
RNAcentral lists this long non-coding RNA (2457 nucleotides) under Capsicum annuum. Its description in RNAcentral is "long non-coding RNA (CANN_LNC009056)". Lineage: Eukaryota; Viridiplantae; Streptophyta; Magnoliopsida; Solanales; Solanaceae. The record is from RNAcentral.